This is an RNA transcript of Hippocampus zosterae (dwarf seahorse), 992 nucleotides long. It is a transcript of the gene named obg-like ATPase 1, with no coding region annotated. The record is from RefSeq and is a predicted model, not a curated record. The transcript is spliced from 7 exons. NCBI's taxonomy places the organism in Eukaryota, Metazoa, Chordata, Actinopteri, Syngnathiformes, Syngnathidae.
UGACAAUACACCAAAACGGGGCGAAAUAGAGAGAGGUGCAUUUGACGAUGAGGAUAUCAUCUAUGUUGAGAUGAGCGCGAACCCCGUGAGGGACAUGUCGGAUCAUCCACCAGGAGCCGAGGCUGACGGAUGACGACACGAUCUUCCCUCUUAUUGACAAGCCGAAGAAGCCGGCCAUGAGAGAAGGCGACGAGAAACUCAAACCAGAAUUCGACGUAAUGUGAAGACACGAGACGGGUCGUGGAUUGAAAGAAACGCGUCUGCCAGUAUCACACGAUGGAGGAACGAUACAGGUGUCAUUUGGACAGACGUGAGGCCAUCAGCGUUUGACAGUUCAACCUUUGCAGUUUUUACUGGAAGGGCGUCGGUCAUCCCUUACAGCGGCGACCUGGAGAGCAAGACGAAUCAAGAAGAGGCGCCCAAAGAUCUGCACGGAGCACAAGACACAUCAGGAAGGAACGAAGGCUCCACAGACUGCGGGAAGACCCGCAUGGACUUGGGAGAAAUUCCGGGAUUUUCAAGAGGAAGGCAGUGAGAGCGCUGUCCAGGCAGCGGAGGUACUGCGGAUAACUAUUGAAGAUGGAGACGUCAUCCUUUCUCAAAUUCACUUUGCCAAACGCAGCCAAGAAAAAGCGACUCAAGACAGUCGGCGUGACCCACCGCUCCCAGCGCAGGUCUGACAAUUACGCUGCCGAGCACUAUAGCUUUCCGUUUGACGUCCUGUAGGAUCAAAUCCCUCCCCGUGCCGAGGCGCAGGUUCACUAAACUCUUUGACAGCUUUGCUAUUUAAGAUCAGGAUCAGCCCCCUACUCCAAAUUGUAAGGAGCAUAUUACUCUCCAGAUACUUCAUUAAUCUCCAUCACGCCUGCCUAGCACUGUCAACAGCUGACAGCGGGGACAAUGCCACCUGCUCCUCUCCCCACUUGUGCAGAUAAUGCAUGUUUUACAGUAGGCCAGAUGUCUACACUCAAUAAAACAUUUGACAAAACCAA